Molecule: ribosomal RNA, 253 nt
Filed under: uncultured bacterium
Lineage: Bacteria
Description: partial 16S ribosomal RNA
Rfam family: Bacterial small subunit ribosomal RNA
Source: RNAcentral
UACGUAGGAGGCAAGCGUUGUCCGGAAUCACUGGGCGUAAAGCGCGUGUAGGCGGAUCGCUAAGUCUGUGGUGAAAGCGCCUGGCUUAACCGGGCGAGGUCCAUGGAAACUAGCGGUCUGGAGGCCGGUAGAGGGGGGUGGAAUUCCGGGUGUAGUGGUGAAAUGCGUAGAGAUCCGGAGGAACACCAGUGGCGAAGGCGGCCCCCUGGGCCGCGCCUGACGCUGAGACGCGAAAGCGCGGGGAGCGAACAGG